RNAcentral lists this ribosomal RNA (746 nucleotides) under uncultured Parvimonas sp. Its description in RNAcentral is "bacterial SSU rRNA". It matches the Rfam family "Bacterial small subunit ribosomal RNA", at positions 28 to 776 of the family's 1533-position model. Lineage: Bacteria; Bacillati; Bacillota; Tissierellia; Tissierellales; Peptoniphilaceae. The record is from RNAcentral.
GACGAACGCUGGCGGCGUGCUUAACACAUGCAAGUCGAACGUGAUUUUUGUAGAAAUUCUUUCGGGGAUGGAAAUGAAAUGAAAGUGGCGAACGGGUGAGUAACACGUGAGCAACCUACCUUACACAGGGGGAUAGCCGUUGGAAACGACGAUUAAUACCGCAUGAGACCACAGAAUCGCAUGAUAUAGGGGUCAAAGAUUUAUCGGUGUAAGAAGGGCUCGCGUCUGAUUAGCUAGUUGGAAGGGUAAAGGCCUACCAAGGCGACGAUCAGUAGCCGGUCUGAGAGGAUGAACGGCCACAUUGGAACUGAGACACGGUCCAAACUCCUACGGGAGGCAGCAGUGGGGAAUAUUGCACAAUGGGGGGAACCCUGAUGCAGCGACGCCGCGUGAGCGAAGAAGGUUUUCGAAUCGUAAAGCUCUGUCCUAUGAGAAGAUAAUGACGGUAUCAUAGGAGGAAGCCCCGGCUAAAUACGUGCCAGCAGCCGCGGUAAUACGUAUGGGGCGAGCGUUGUCCGGAAUUAUUGGGCGUAAAGGGUACGUAGGCGGUUUUUUAAGUCAGGUGUGAAAGCGUGAGGCUUAACCUCAUUAAGCACUUGAAACUGGAAGACUUGAGUGAAGGAGAGGAAAGUGGAAUUCCUAGUGUAGCGGUGAAAUGCGUAGAUAUUAGGAGGAAUACCGGUGGCGAAGGCGACUUUCUGGACUUUUACUGACGCUCAGGUACGAAAGCGUGGGGAGCAAACAGG